RNAcentral lists this long non-coding RNA (1594 nucleotides) under Salmo salar (Atlantic salmon). RNAcentral's name for it is "lncRNA (ENSSSAG00000117404.1)". Lineage: Eukaryota; Metazoa; Chordata; Actinopteri; Salmoniformes; Salmonidae. The record is from RNAcentral.
AUAAGAGUGUCUGCUAAAUGACUAAAAUGUAAAUGUAUAAAUGCAUUAAAAUACUCCCAAACUUUAGGAUGAGAGGCUGGAUUUAUAUCAGAAAUAAACGUGACCUUUUUCCAAAACACAUUUUGGUAGCAGUAGUGAAGUACGGAGGAAUUUUACUUAGAAAUCAUUUUGAUUUAUAAAUAACGUUGAAAUAAAAUAAUAAUACAAUAAUUUCUUUAUGAAAAUUCUGUACAAAUCUGUUAUGGAGUGUACACUUCAAAUGUAGCUGCACAAAAAAACUAUUUUGUGUUCAAUUAUUUAAUGGCUUGUUCUUAUUAAAUCAUGUAUUGGUCAGAAAGAAGGUUACAGCAGUUAAGGGUUUAUUUGUUUGAACUGUGAGAGAUUCUAAACACAUUGACCCAGCGUCGUCUAGGAAGGUGACGGGCUACAAAUCACAUAGAAUGAUAGCAGUGAGAAACUCUUCUUUCUCUCUCUCUCUCUCCAUUACAAACACUAUGCAUGCAUCCCUAAUGGUACCCUAAUCCCUAUUUAGUGCCCAUAGGGUCCUGGUCAAAAGUAGUGCAUUACAAAAGGGAAUAGGGUGUCAUUUGGGAUACAUUCCGAACAUAUCCCAAGGGAGGCCCCAUUCUGGCUUCGUUCAGCGCAGCUAUUGUAAAGUGAUGGUCUCUCCCAGGUUAACAGUACAGGGACUGGGUGAAUGAGUGAGAGUCUCUCCCAGGUUAACAGUACAGGGACUGGGUGAAUGAGUGAGAGUCUCUCCCAGGUUAACAGUACAGGGACUGGGUGAAUGAGUGAGAGUCUCUCCCAGGUUAACAGUACAGGGACUGGGUGAAUGAGUGAGAGUCUCUCCCAGGUUAACAGUACAGGGGCAGGUUAACAGUGCAGGAACAGCAUUACAUUUCACCCAGGCUUUCAACAACAUUAUAUUUCACCCAGGCUUUCAACAGCAUUAUAUUUCACCCAGGCUUUCAACAAUAUUAUAUUUCACCCAGGCUUUCAACAACAUUAUAUUUCACCCAGGCUUUCAACAGCAUUACAUUUCACCCAGGCUUUCAACAACAUUAUAUUUCACCCAGGCUUUCAACAACAUUAUAUUUCACCCAGGCUUUCAACAACAUUAUAUUUCACCCAGGCUUUCAGCAGCAUUAUAUUUCACCCAGGCUUUCAACAACAACAUAUUUCACCCAGGUUUUCAACAGCAUUAUAUUUCGUCCUGAUUCAUACAAUUUCACGCUAUAGCUCAACUGUUGUUUUAGCAGAGUUCUUUUAAAAGUUAUUUCAAUAAAAAAAAAAAUGUUAAAAAAUGUGUUGGCCAAUAGGGGGCGAUAGCAUCGUAUAUAACACAAUGUAUUAUGGGUACAUGAUCACGAUAGUACAGCGGCUGAUGUCUCCCAACCCUACUAGUAUCAGUACUACAAUACCCCAUGUCAGGAGAUGAGCCGCAGGUCUGCAGUGUUUCUGUAAACAGGCUGAGUCUUCACCCUGGCAAUAUGACUGGGAGCUUGAGGUAAAUAAGCCCCCCCCCACACACACACACACUGUACAACCCCCCUCCCACACACACACAAACACACACACACACACUGUACAACCC